CCCGGUGACUAUAGGCUUCUGGCAAUACCCGUUCCCAUCCCGAACACGGUCGUCAAGCAGAAGCCGCCGAUGAUAUUGCAUUGCGAGAAAGUAGGUAUUGCCGGGG
This 106-nucleotide ribosomal RNA is filed under the name Planctomycetota bacterium. The record is from RNAcentral. Lineage: Bacteria; Pseudomonadati; Planctomycetota.